AGUCCAUGCAUUGGGCAUUUAUGCCGUAAAUCCUUAAAGUGUUCCCAUGCCUCACACAAAUUUUCAUCUUCCAACUGCUUGAAGGAUGUUAAGUCACUCCUAAGCUU
Hibiscus syriacus is the source of this 107-nucleotide small nucleolar RNA. The record is from RefSeq and is a predicted model, not a curated record. NCBI's taxonomy places the organism in Eukaryota, Viridiplantae, Streptophyta, Magnoliopsida, Malvales, Malvaceae.